AUUGAACGCUGGCGGCAGGCUUAACACAUGCAAGUCGAGCGGAGACUUCGGUCUUAGCGGCGAACGGGUGAGGAAUGCCUGGGAAUCUGCCUGUUAGUGGGGGAUAAACGUUCCGAAAGGAGCGCUAAUACCGCAUACGUCCUACGGGAGAAAGCAGGGGACCUUCGGGCCUUGCGCUAACAGAUGAGCCCAGGUCGGAUUAGCUAGUUGGUGGGGUAAAGGCUCACCAAGGCGACGAUCCGUAGCUGGUCUGAGAGGAUGAUCAGCCACACUGGAACUGAGACACGGUCCAGACUCCUACGGGAGGCAGCAGUGGGAAUAUUGGACAAUGGGCGAAAGCCUGAUCCAGCCAUGCCGCGUGUGUGAAGAAGG
Molecule: ribosomal RNA, 372 nt
Filed under: uncultured bacterium
Lineage: Bacteria
Description: bacterial SSU rRNA
Rfam family: Bacterial small subunit ribosomal RNA
Source: RNAcentral